This 505-nucleotide ribosomal RNA is filed under the name uncultured bacterium. RNAcentral describes it as "bacterial SSU rRNA". It matches the Rfam family "Bacterial small subunit ribosomal RNA", at positions 59 to 553 of the family's 1533-position model. The record is from RNAcentral.
AAGUCGAGCGGAAACGAUGAUAGCUUGCUAUCAGGCGUCGAGCGGCGGACGGGUGAGUAACGCGUAGAUAUCUACCUAGUAGUGGGGAACAACCUGUGGAAACGCAGGCUAAUACCGCAUACGUCCUACGGGAGAAAGGGGGCCAAUUCUUGAAAGCUCUCGCUAUUAGAUGAGUCUGCGUCGGAUUAGCUUGUUGGUGAGGUAAUGGCUCACCAAGGCGACGAUCCGUAGCUGGUCUGAGAGGAUGAUCAGCCACACUGGAACUGAGACACGGUCCAGACUCCUACGGGAGGCAGCAGUGGGGAAUAUUGCACAAUGGGCGAAAGCCUGAUGCAGCCAUGCCGCGUGUGUGAAGAAGGCCUUAGGGUUGUAAAGCACUUUCAGCGAGGAGGAAAGGUUGGUACUUAAUACGUACCAGCUGUGACGUUACUCGCAGAAGAAGGACCGGCUAACUCCGUGCCAGCAGCCGCGGUAAUACGGAGGGUCCGAGCGUUAAUCGGAAUUA